CCUACGGGGGGCUGCAGUGGGGAAUAUUGGACAAUGGGGGGAACCCUGAUCCAGCCAUGCCGCGUGUGUGAAGAAGGCCCUCGGGUUGUAAAGCACUUUCAGUGAGGAAGAACGCCUGGUGGUUAAUACCCAUCAGGAAAGACAUCACUCACAGAAGAAGCACCGGCUAACUCCGUGCCAGCAGCCGCGGUAAUACGGAGGGUGCGAGCGUUAAUCGGAAUUACUGGGCGUAAAGCGCGCGUAGGUGGCUUGAUAAGCCGGUUGUGAAAGCCCCGGGCUCAACCUGGGAACGGCAUCCGGAACUGUCAAGCUAGAGUGCAGGAGAGGAAGGUAGAAUUCCCGGUGUAGCGGUGAAAUGCGUAGAGAGCGGGAGGAAUACCAGUGGCGAAGGCGGCCUUCUGGACUGACACUGACACUGAGGUGCGAAAGCGUGGGUAGCAAACAGGAUUAGAUACCCUAGUAGUC
This 465-nucleotide ribosomal RNA is filed under the name Vreelandella stevensii. RNAcentral describes it as "partial 16S ribosomal RNA". It matches the Rfam family "Bacterial small subunit ribosomal RNA", at positions 338 to 795 of the family's 1533-position model. Lineage: Bacteria; Pseudomonadati; Pseudomonadota; Gammaproteobacteria; Oceanospirillales; Halomonadaceae. The record is from RNAcentral.